This 78-nucleotide transfer RNA is filed under the name Cotesia glomerata. RNAcentral describes it as "tRNA-Thr". The stretch from base 7 to 68 matches the Rfam family "tRNA", at positions 6 to 65 of the family's 71-position model. From Rfam's summary of the family: Transfer RNA (tRNA) molecules are approximately 80 nucleotides in length. Their secondary structure includes four short double-helical elements and three loops (D, anti-codon, and T loops). Further hydrogen bonds mediate the characteristic L-shaped molecular structure. tRNAs have two regions of fundamental functional importance: the anti-codon, which is responsible for specific mRNA codon recognition, and the 3' end, to which the tRNAs corresponding amino acid is attached (by aminoacyl-tRNA synthetases). tRNAs cope with the degeneracy of the genetic code in two manners: having more than one tRNA (with a specific anti-codon) for a particular amino acid; and 'wobble' base-pairing, i.e. permitting non-standard base-pairing at the 3rd anti-codon position. Lineage: Eukaryota; Metazoa; Arthropoda; Insecta; Hymenoptera; Braconidae. The record is from RNAcentral.
UAAAGCAGUAGCUCAAAUGUUAGAGCACCUGACAUGUGUUCGGGAAGAUCCAGGUUCGAUUCCUGGCUCGGUAAUUAA